UCUCCGUGGGUGAACCUGCGGAAGGAUCAUUAUCGAGUUAGGGUCUCUGGCCCGACCUCCGACCCUGUGUCUACUAUACCAUGUUGCUUUGGCAGGCCCGCUUAGAAAUGGGCCGCCGGAGACCUUUGGGUCUCUGGUCAGUGCCUGCCAGUAGCCAUUCUAAAUUCAUUUAUAACUGUCUGAAUAUACAAAGAAAAAUUAAAAUAAAACUUUCAACAACGGAUCUCUUGGUUCUG
RNAcentral lists this unclassified non-coding RNA (236 nucleotides) under plant metagenome. RNAcentral describes it as "partial contains small subunit ribosomal RNA, internal transcribed spacer 1, and 5.8S ribosomal RNA". The record is from RNAcentral.